RNAcentral lists this transfer RNA (72 nucleotides) under Ovis aries (sheep). It matches the Rfam family "tRNA". From Rfam's summary of the family: Transfer RNA (tRNA) molecules are approximately 80 nucleotides in length. The record is from Rfam by way of RNAcentral. Lineage: Eukaryota; Metazoa; Chordata; Mammalia; Artiodactyla; Bovidae.
UCCCUGGUGGUCCAGUGGCUAAGACUCUGCACUUCCAAUGCAGGGGCCCCAGGUUCAGUCUUGGUUAGGGAA